AGGGAGGUUCAGGAAGCCAUUCGUUCUUUCGCGUCUGCGGUGCCCGGAGUGUGGUACUUCUCCUAGUUGCAGUCAGGCUUCAUACGCUAUUGUCCUGCCCGUUAGAGCAGCCAGCGGGUACAGAAUGGAUUUUGGAAGAGGGAGUCACCACUGGACCUCCAAGGAAGCCACGUGCAGACAUCUACAACCUUCGAUCUCCUGACGAGUUUAUUGUUGGCCAAAACCAGGCUUUGAUUGAACCAGGAUGAAUGCGGGUGUUGGAAGUAGAAUAUAUAUAUACAUAUAAAAUUGGUUGGGAGCCACGUGUACCAGUGUGUGUUGAUCUUGGCUUGAUUCAGUCUGCCUUGUAACAGUUGGAGUCUCUGUCACCCAAGCUGGAGUGCAAUGGUGUGAUCUUAAGCCACUGCAACCUUUGCCUCCUGGGUUCAAACAAUUCUCCUGCCUCGGCCUCCUGAGUAGCUGGGAUUACAGGCGCCUGCCACUGCACCCAGCUAAUUUUUGUAUUUUUAGUAGAGAUGGGGUUUCACCAUGUUGGCCAGGCUGGUCUCAAACUCCUGACCUCGUGAUCCACCCACCUUGGCCUCCCAAAGUGCUGGUAUUUCAAGUGUGAGCCAGCAAGCCCAGCCUCCCUGAUUUCUUUUUCCUGCCCAUACAUGAGGAUGAAUGUAUUUUUCUUCUGCGGUGGUAAGUCUCUUCCUAAUAAGUUCGUUCCUGCCUCAGGGAUUAACAGGAAUUUAACAUGGGCUGAUCAAUUUUUGUAUAGACCUCUGUCUUUUAAGAUUUUUGCUUUAAAUCUUUUAUCCCUGAGAUAGAAAGUUCUUCUGAAGAACAGGUGAUAGAUACCAGAUGGGAGGGAACGGGAGCGAGCUGCUGCUGAAUCUGUAAGAAGGUUUUAAGUUCACAUUUGGGUCCCACCUCUAAAUUUAUCAGGGGCUCUUGGUGGGACUCAAGGUAAAAGAGACAGCCCCUGACCUCCCUAUUUUCCUGGAAGGCCAUAAGUGGAAUAUUUUUUCUUUUUCCCAUUUGGGGCAUUCUCUUUUGAAGUGACCUACUCUUCCACAUUUGAAACAUUUGUUUUCCCCUCUUCCCUGUCCUGCACUGUGACUUCCAGGUUUUAUUCCCUUACUCCUUGUAUACAGUUUGGUCGCUGGUGGCCUAGAGGGUUUGUAAGUUUUACUUCCUUGUGUCUCCUACUGCAGAGUUCUCUGUUGUAAGGUAGACAGCAUGAUUUUUGCCUUUUGUUUCUGCUGCUCUUUGUCCCUACUUAUAUGCUUCUCUAAGAAGUUAGUCUCUGGGACAAUCUUUCCAAUUCUCUAUCUUUUGUAGUUGUUUUUAGAGGUGUUUGGCCAAGUCUUAGUAACAAAAUGAAGCUUUAGCAUCCCUUGCCCCAGUGGGUCUUCCAUUUCUAAACCUGCAUAUUUUCUCAUCUGUUCUUUAAGCCUAUUUAGGAAUUCAUGGGUCCUUCAUCCAUCCCUUGUAUGUUGAAUGCUUGGGAAAUACUCUCAGUUCGGGAUACUGAUGGAACAUUUUGACCGGUAGGGUGUUAAUGUUCCCAGACUACCAAAGCAGCCCUAUGGAUCAUGGUUCUUCUCCCAAGAAGGGAAUGCCUAAAAUGGACAUAAGCUCGGCCCAUACAACUGGGGUCCUAAAAAAUGAUUUGAUCUGCUACCCCAUAAGGGUCAUCUAACAAGGGCUUGAGUUUUUCUUUUUUUUUAGAUUUUGUACUUCUGAGCUGGUUAAGGGGGCAUUUACGAAGCUGAUGCCUCCUCUCCCAAGGGGCACUUCUUCAAGGGGAAGAGAGUUGGGGGCAAUUCUUUGGAGGUGGAAAGGGGAAAGGGAAGUUCUGAGUAUCCUUUUUACAUUGUUCUAUUUCAUGCUGUAGGGCUUAAGUGUGUGGCUAGGGGGAACAUGGGGUAUUGAUUCAGGAUUAUAUGGGGGAGGGACUGAUGAGUGGGGGGAUCCUGUGUACCGGCUUGAUGCAUGGGGUUUGGCAGAGGCAAGUGGUCUGGUGGGUCCCAUAUGUUAGCAGGCUGUUCGGGGGUAGAGACCUUACUCCUUUCAGAGGAGUUGGCUUCUGGCUUGCUUCCUGUAGUUAUGUUUAGUCCUUUCACUAUCCUUUUAGCAUGAGAACCUAGGGGACUGUCAGAGGGGAUGUUACUGUCAUUAAUUUGAUCCUUUCUAUUUACUGUCUUUCUUGAGGUAUUUUGCAUAAUGAAGGUUUGGUGUGAGGCCCAAAAUUAGAUUUAUUGCCUUUCCUCAUAGGCUCAACCUCCCUUACUGGAGAUUUCUUGCCAUUCCUUUCUCUAGAGGGUCAGCCCCUGGCUACUGGAGAUUUCUUGCACUCUUCUCCUUUUGCUUCAUCCUUCUCUGGCUGCUUCCCAGGAGGGAAUAUUUCAGGUCCUCCUUAGCAUUGGUGUGUCAGUAUAAGCCCCAUGACAGGAAUCCACCAUAAGCUAUACGAGGUGACCAUGGAAUCACAGAUCCGGAAUCAUCGCUCGCUUCGCACUCAGUUGUGCGUCUCAUUGACACACUUUCAACCUCUAAAAUGCCCUGACCACCAAGGAAAUACUUUGUCGCCCCUGUGACUUUUCUUAACUUGGUCUGUGCAGUUACCUGGUCACCGCAGUAUGUGAGGAUCCUUUCCGCCUGUGUUGCUGAGAGUCUGGGUUUAUGUGUCACCUUGGGUGGGACCCAAUCUCCUGUUUGUGAGGCCACCGCAAAGAGGUGGUGGGAUGCCUCUCCUCAAGAGAGGUGAUCGUGGGCUUCUCCUGAAGGAGAACGGUAAUCCCAGAUGAGCUCCCAAAUUGUUGGCAAUAAGAGCUCAGAGUUGCAAAGAAAAUGAUCUCCAAAAGAUUUCUCAGCAAGGCAGAUUUACUUCUGCAGAAUGGUGCUGCUUGCACUCCUGGUCACAGUGAGAGCACCCCGAACAAAGGAGGUGAAGUGGUUUUUAUCCCUAACACAGCUAGUUCCUGCUUCUGUGUUCUAUCCCCAUUGGCUAGAGUCCAAUCUAAACUAGUCCUGAUUGGCUAUUUUAAACAGGAGGGGUGUGGGUUACAGCAGUGGGAAGAGCAGUUGCCACGAGCGAGGGAGACUUUUCCAGAUAAGGAACAAAUGCGGGUUACAGGUUGGGAUUGGUGGGAGAAAUGUUUACAGAAUGGGUAAUUAGGAGUGGGAAGGUAUGAGGAAGUUGACCUUAAGAACAAAGAACAAGGAAGUUAAACUUUGAAGAGAAACCCAUCAUACCUAACAGUCUUGUAAGAAAGGAUGACAAAGUGAUUGAACAUUGGGUGGAGCUAAUUUUCCUUGGCCAAUUCACUUAGUAAGAUAAGGAGCUCCAAAUCAUAUUUAAGUUGGGAGUCAAUUGAUUUUACUUAAUUCUUGUGAGGUUCAGUUAUAAGAUUCAUCAUACUACUACCAUGAGCCAUCCUCAGCUCCUUGUUACAUGGGCCUGUUAACAUGGCAGCUUUGUCUAUAAGCAAACCCAGGAGAGAAAGACAUAGCAGAGAUGGAUGUUUGAAGUCUAUACCUUCCACCCCCUUUAAAGAGAAAGUAACACCACUCCUUUUCUGUGUCCCUUGGGGACACUACCUCCAUGUCUGGUCACAUGGCUGGACUUUACAGCAGAUAAGCAUACUGUGGCCUGAGACCAUGAUUGUAUGCUUUCCUUCUGCUGACCUUUACAAUCCCUCAAUAAAUUGAGCUAACACAGGGAAGCUUUUUUACCAAAUAACUGUGUUGCAUCAUCCUCCAGUUUGCCUGGUGUCCUUAAUCAAUGGAAGGGGAAUAAGCAAACUGAGUUUUCUUACACCUUUUGAGUAUAGUGUUUUUGCCAUCAUAGAUGUGGCUCCUCAUAAUUCUCCAACUUUUAUAUUAAAAAACCAAAACCUCAAAAAUUGUAGUUCAUGUCAGUCAGUGAUGACUCAUCUUAGAAGUAUUUUGUUUUUGGAUGUGUGAAUGUGCAUAGUUCUUAAAGUCCAACAUUCAUGUAAUAAGACAUCUUGCAUAUAACAAUGACCCUUACGUCUAAGAUGUUAAAUAGAUCCUAAGCCUGGUAUAACUUUAUUCAAGUAUCCUUAUUUGCCCCUAAAAUGUCUUUAAUACACAUUACUUGGGUUAUUUCUUGAAUGAACAUACAGGUAUCCCAAUUUCUGUUUUUAAGAGAAUGGGGUCUUGCUCUGUCACCCAGGCUGGAGUGCAGUGGUGCAGUCAUGGCUUACUGCAUCCAUGAUCCUCCUGCCUCAGCCUCCCAAGUAGAUGGGACUGAAAGCACACACUGCCAUCCCUGGCUAAUGUUUUCAUAUUUUGUAGAGUUGCAGCCUUGCUACGUGACCCAGGCUGGAGUGUAGUAGCUAUUCACAGGCAUGAUUGCUUGAAACUCAUGGCUUCAAGGGAAACUCCCACCCUCAAUAUCCUCAGUAGCUGCAACUACAGCCAUACCCCCCACUGCUCAGCUUCUCAUCCUUUAAAAGAUUUUUACUGGUAGUGUCCUCAUUCUGGGUUUUUGUCUUCUGUGUUUACUGUGACAUGAAGUCAUUUUUAGAUGAAGGUUAAACAUUUUGCCAACGCAGGUACAAUAUGGGAUUCAAUAAAAGUACAGAAUUAAAGUUGUCUUAUUAGAGAUUGGGAAGUUUCCCAGCUCCGUUUAUCGGUACUUGGCCGUACCGAUAAAGGGGAUGGACUUGGAGUGACCAGGUCUUAGUCACAUGUAUUUUCAUACCCUAAACAAGAAGCGGUAUAGACCAGAAUGGAGCACUGAUUGUAAUCCACCUUCUUUCUUAGAAACUGGCGAUGGAAUAUGAGAGGAGCCCUCUGGAAAGAAAAGGACAGACCCUGUGCUUUCAUGAAAGUGAAGAUCUGGCUGAACCAGUUCCACAAGGUUACUGUAUACAUAGCCUGAGUUUAAAAGGCUGUGCCCACUUCAAGAAUGUCAUUGUUAGACUUUGAAAUUUCUAACUGCCUACCUGCAUAAAGAAAAUAAAAUCUUUUAAAUCAAAA
This 4995-nucleotide long non-coding RNA is filed under the name Homo sapiens (human). RNAcentral describes it as "HSALNT0401519". The stretch from base 206 to 292 matches the Rfam family "ZNFX1 antisense RNA 1 conserved region 3". The record is from RNAcentral. Lineage: Eukaryota; Metazoa; Chordata; Mammalia; Primates; Hominidae.